This 523-nucleotide ribosomal RNA is filed under the name uncultured bacterium. RNAcentral describes it as "bacterial SSU rRNA". It matches the Rfam family "Bacterial small subunit ribosomal RNA", at positions 8 to 526 of the family's 1533-position model. The record is from RNAcentral.
AGAGUUUGAUCCUGGCUCAGAUUGAACGCUGGCGGAAUGCUUUACACAUGCAAGUCGAGCGGCAGCGCGGGGGCAACCCUGGCGGCGAGCGGCGAACGGGUGAGUAACACAUCGGAACGUACCCAGUUGUGGGGGAUAGCCCGGCGAAAGCCGGAUUAAUACCGCAUACGACCUGAGGGUGAAAGGGGGGGAUCGCAAGACCUCUCGCAGUUGGAGCGGCCGAUGGCGGAUUAGCUAGUUGGUGGGGUAAAGGCCUACCAAGGCGACGAUCCGUAGCUGGUCUGAGAGGACGACCAGCCACACUGGAACUGAGACACGGUCCAGACUCCUACGGGAGGCAGCAGUGGGGAAUUUUGGACAAUGGGGGCAACCCUGAUCCAGCCAUUCCGCGUGAGUGAAGAAGGCCUUCGGGUUGUAAAGCUCUUUCGGCAGGAACGAAACGGUGUGGGCCAAUACCCUGCAUCAAUGACGGUACCUGAAGAAGAAGCACCGGCUAACUACGUGCCAGCAGCCGCGGUAAUAA